RNAcentral lists this ribosomal RNA (430 nucleotides) under Bacillota bacterium. RNAcentral's name for it is "Firmicutes bacterium partial 16S ribosomal RNA". It matches the Rfam family "Bacterial small subunit ribosomal RNA", at positions 355 to 776 of the family's 1533-position model. Lineage: Bacteria; Bacillati; Bacillota. The record is from RNAcentral.
UGGGGAAUAUUGGACAAUGGGCGAAAGCCUGAUCCAGCCAUGCCGCGAGUGUGAAGAAGGCCUUUUGGUUGUAAAGCACUUUAAUCGAGGAGGAGGCUACUUGGAUUAAUACUUUAGGAUAGUGGACGUUACUCGCAGAAUAAGCACCGGCUAACUCUGUGCCAGCAGCCGCGGUAAUACAGAGGGUGCGAGCGUUAAUCGGAUUUACUGGGCGUAAAGCGUGUGUAGGCGGCUUUUUAAGUCGGAUGUGAAAUCCCUGAGCUUAACUUAGGAAUUGCGUUCGAUACUGGGAAGCUAGAGUAUGGGAGAAGAUGGAAGAAUUCCAGGUGUAGCGGAGAAAUGCGUUGAGAUCUAGAGGAAUGCCGAUGGCGAAGGCAGCCAUCUGGCAUAAUGCUAACGCGGAGGUACGAAAGCAUGGGGAGCAAACAGG